GCUCAGGUCACGUUCUGAGCCUGCUUCUCACUCCUGCCCCCUCCCACCCUCCUGGUUCUGCCAUGGACAAGCUGAAGUCUCUCUGAGACCAGGGGACCCGCAUGGCCCAGCCACCCCACCCCACCAUCUCCCAGGCAUGUGAGAAAAUAUCACAUUCUCUGUGUUUUGGAGAUUUCUUCUAAAUGUAUUUUCCAACUAUCAUUUCAUAGCAAAUCAGCGAGAAAAAAGGGGCUUCCUGGAGCUCCUGCAACCCCAGGCAUUAGUUCCGGUGCAGUUCUAGGAUCAGAUCAAUUCACUCGACAACAAGAGAAACAAAUGGAGAUUCCUACACAAAGACUUUCAAGCACAAAGAAAUCCUGCUGCCUGUAAAGCGGAGCUGCCUCAGCCCUUGAUGAACGACAGAAAAUCUCACAUUCCAGGAAUUCAGAUGAAGUGAAGUGCUCUCAUGGGGACCAGGCAUGGUUAUGCCAGUCCACUGCCCUGCAAGCCUCAAGGGAAGCCAACUGCCCUUCAGCAAGUCACACCUGCCUUGGUGGAGGCCUUGAUUGGAAGUGCCACACGCUACAUGUCCAGUCCUGAGCGGGAGAAUCGGUGUAGGGACGUUCUGGGGAUGCCAGCUGUGGCCAGAUCAGGUCCAACUACAGAAGAAUAAUGAAGACUCCACCUGAGGGCUGGAAAAACAAAACCUCAAGUGUGAGGCAGCCAACCUGUUACCUCGAGGGACUGUUCCGCAGCACAGCGGGGCCAUGGGAACAGCAGCAGACACCCCGACCUCCUCGCUACCU
RNAcentral lists this long non-coding RNA (785 nucleotides) under Homo sapiens (human). Its description in RNAcentral is "novel transcript". The record is from RNAcentral. Lineage: Eukaryota; Metazoa; Chordata; Mammalia; Primates; Hominidae.